Molecule: ribosomal RNA, 54 nt
Filed under: Aspergillus egyptiacus
Lineage: Eukaryota; Fungi; Ascomycota; Eurotiomycetes; Eurotiales; Aspergillaceae
Description: partial 28S ribosomal RNA
Source: RNAcentral
UGACCUCGGAUCAGGUAGGGAUACCCGCUGAACUUAAGCAUAUCAAUAAGCAGA